This 420-nucleotide long non-coding RNA is filed under the name Homo sapiens (human). RNAcentral describes it as "non-protein coding DPH6-DT:19". Lineage: Eukaryota; Metazoa; Chordata; Mammalia; Primates; Hominidae. The record is from RNAcentral.
GUCCGCGGAUCGGCGCUGCGAGCCCCGCGGCUGCCUGCGGGACACCUGAGCGCGGAGGGUGCGGCACCUUGGCACCUUGACCCUGUGGCAGGGACAUCUCGGCCCAGGAAAGAAUGAGGUUUAGGCACGGCCUAACCACCUAAGUGAGGGCACUGAAGCUGCCGGGGGAAGGGCAAGGUCCGCGUUGCAGAGCCCAAGCCCAGUGGCGCAGGAUUUGUUUUGCACAUCUCGAUAUACUGAUUGAUAAAGACUCAGAUAAUCAAAUCAAGAAUGCUACAGGUGGUUACUCCUCAGAAACCUUGAAAGGAUUUAAAUUCAUUCUGCUUAAAGUCAUGCCAUACAGGAAGCCAUCAGAAGUUGCCUGGUAAGGAUUUAAGAAAAAAGGAAUUAAGUGGUUAUUUGGGUCAUAAAUUUUAGGGC